Molecule: ribosomal RNA, 477 nt
Filed under: Vibrio pomeroyi
Lineage: Bacteria; Pseudomonadati; Pseudomonadota; Gammaproteobacteria; Vibrionales; Vibrionaceae
Description: bacterial SSU rRNA
Rfam family: Bacterial small subunit ribosomal RNA
Source: RNAcentral
GGACGGGUGAGUAAUGCCUAGGAAAUUGCCUUGAUGUGGGGGAUAACCAUUGGAAACGAUGGCUAAUACCGCAUAAUGCCUACGGGCCAAAGAGGGGGACCUUCGGGCCUCUCGCGUCAAGAUAUGCCUAGGUGGGAUUAGCUAGUUGGUGAGGUAAUGGCUCACCAAGGCGACGAUCCCUAGCUGGUCUGAGAGGAUGAUCAGCCACACUGGAACUGAGACACGGUCCAGACUCCUACGGGAGGCAGCAGUGGGGAAUAUUGCACAAUGGGCGAAAGCCUGAUGCAGCCAUGCCGCGUGUAUGAAGAAGGCCUUCGGGUUGUAAAGUACUUUCAGUUGUGAGGAAGGGGGUGUCGUUAAUAGCGGCAUCUCUUGACGUUAGCAACAGAAGAAGCACCGGCUAACUCCGUGCCAGCAGCCGCGGUAAUACGGAGGGUGCGAGCGUUAAUCGGAAUUACUGGGCGUAAAGCGCAUGCA